GACACCAUGACUUUCAUCACCAUCUUCAUCUGGACACUGACUCUCUGUUGUCAUGAGUCCAGAGGACAGGUGACUGUGACUCAGACUCCUGAAGUGAAAUCUGCUCUUCCAGGAGACACUGUCACAAUUAACUGUAAAACCAGUACUGCAGUGUUUUACUCUGGUGGUCACUACCUGCACUGGUACCAACAGAAACCUGGACAGGCUCCUAAACUCCUCAUAAAAUAUGCUAACCAGUUAGAGUCAGGAAUUCCAAACCGUUUCAGUGGCACUGGAUCUGGGACUGACUUCACUCUGACCAUCACAGGAGUCCAGACUGAAGAUGCAGGAGAUUAUUACUGUCAGAGUUACCAUAGCAUCAGUGGUAAAGGUCUGUUCACACAGUGA
Chanos chanos (milkfish) is the source of this 387-nucleotide non-coding RNA. The record is from the annotation of a RefSeq genome assembly. Lineage: Eukaryota; Metazoa; Chordata; Actinopteri; Gonorynchiformes; Chanidae.